GGAGUCUGGUCCGUGUCUCAGUACCAGUGUGGGGGAUUAGCCUCUCAGCUCCCCUAGACAUCGUGGGCUUGGUGGGCCGUUGCCCCGCCAACUACCUAAUGUCACGCAUGCCCAUCCUGUACCACCGAAGCUUUAGCCACCCGGCCAUGCGACCAAGUGGCACUAUGGGAUAUUAGUGGAGUUUUCACCCCGUUAUCCCCCUGUACAGGGCAGGUUGCAUACGCGUUACGCACCCGUGCGCCGGUCGCCAUCAAAGUCAGCAAGCUGACUCCAUGAUGCCCCUCGACUUGCAUGUGUUAAGCCUGUAGCUAGCGUUCAUC
This 320-nucleotide ribosomal RNA is filed under the name uncultured Bacteroidales bacterium. Its description in RNAcentral is "partial 16S ribosomal RNA". Lineage: Bacteria; Pseudomonadati; Bacteroidota; Bacteroidia; Bacteroidales. The record is from RNAcentral.